This 228-nucleotide long non-coding RNA is filed under the name Vigna radiata. Its description in RNAcentral is "long non-coding RNA (VRAD_LNC008160)". Lineage: Eukaryota; Viridiplantae; Streptophyta; Magnoliopsida; Fabales; Fabaceae. The record is from RNAcentral.
CUGGCCCCAAAACAUGCGAUCUAUUUCCAUUUUCUUCUGGAAAACCACUUCCCUGAGCACUUGACAGCCACCCCUCACUCUCGCCGCCUCCCGCCGCCUCCCGCCGCCUCCCUCGCCAUGCUGGAUUUCGGAUGGAGCUUCCCUAUCAUCUUAUACUGAACACAUUGCGAGAUGGUAGAGAGGGUGGUCCUCUUGGGGAGCACAAUUGCGAGGUUUUCGCGAAGGUUU